UACGGGGGGUGCAAGCGUUGUCCGGAAUCACUGGGCGUAAAGGGCGCGUAGGUGGCGUCGUAAGUCUGCUGUGAAAUCCCCGGGCUCAACCUGGGAAUGGCAGUGGAUACUGGCAAGCUAGAGUGUGUCAGAGGAUGGUGGAAUUCCCGGUGUAGCGGUGAAAUGCGUAGAGAUCGGGAGGAACAUCAGUGGCGAAGGCGGCCAUCUGGGACAACACUGACGCUGAGGCACGAAAGCGUGGGGAGCAAACAGG
This 253-nucleotide ribosomal RNA is filed under the name uncultured bacterium. Its description in RNAcentral is "partial 16S ribosomal RNA". It matches the Rfam family "Bacterial small subunit ribosomal RNA", at positions 524 to 776 of the family's 1533-position model. The record is from RNAcentral.